Molecule: ribosomal RNA, 781 nt
Filed under: Bacillus haikouensis
Lineage: Bacteria; Bacillati; Bacillota; Bacilli; Caryophanales; Bacillaceae
Description: partial 16S ribosomal RNA
Rfam family: Bacterial small subunit ribosomal RNA
Source: RNAcentral
UGGAACAAAGUCCUAACGAACCACCGCCCCGGGAUUGAAAAAGGUUUCCGAACCGAAAAACUCUGUGGUUAGGAAAAAACAAUUGCCGUUCAAAUAGGGCGGCCCCUUGACGGUCCCUAACCAAAAACCCACGGUUAACUACUUGCCACCACCCCCGGAAUUACUUAGGGGGCAACCGUUGUCCGAAAUUAUUGGCCUUAAACCCCCCCCAGGGGGUUCCUUAAUCCUAAUGUGAAACCCCACGGUUCAACCUGGAAGGGCCAUUGAAAACGGGGAAACUUAAUUGCAAAAAAGAAAAUUGAAAUUCCAAUUGAACCGGUAAAUUCCUUAAAUAUUUGAAGAACCACCAUUGCCAAAGGCAAUUUUCUGGCCGGUAACUAACACUAAGGCCCAAAACCGUGGGAACCAACCAGAAUUAAAUACCCGGGAAUCCCACGCCUUAACCAAUAAUUGCUAAUUGUUAGAGGUUUUCCCCCCUUUACUGCUGCACCUACCCCUUUAGCCACUCCGCCUGGGAAGUACGGUCCGCAGAACUGAAACUUCAAAGGAAUUGACGGGGGCCCCCCACAACCGUUGAAGCAUGUGGUUUAAUUCGAAGCAACGCGAAGAACCUUACCAGGUCUUGACAUCCUCUGACAACCCUAGAAGAUAGGGCUUUUCCCCUUCGGGGGACAGACUGACAAGUUGGUGCAUGGUUGUCGUCAGCUCGUGUCCGUGAAAUGUUGGGUUAAGUCCGGCAACGAGCCCAACCCUUUGAUCUUAGUUGCCAGGCAUUCAGUUG